This 4328-nucleotide long non-coding RNA is filed under the name Triticum aestivum (bread wheat). RNAcentral's name for it is "long non-coding RNA (TAES_LNC004144)". Lineage: Eukaryota; Viridiplantae; Streptophyta; Magnoliopsida; Poales; Poaceae. The record is from RNAcentral.
ACCUUCGUCUUCAUGGAACUCUGUUGUUCAACAAAAGUAUUGCCAUGAGUACAUUAUGUACUCAACAUGCCUCCCAUGGGGAAGGACCUAAUAGCUAAAUGUGGCUUCAAAGGAAGGUUGUAUGGAUCAUUUGCAUAAAAGCUAAUUUUGUUUGAAAUAAUUUAGCAUUUGAAUAAAAGAAGUUUUUGAUGAAAACAUGUUUUAUCUCCAGAAUAACUUUCAUCAAAUGAGGAUCCUCGACCAACUCACGUCCUUCAUAGGUUUCAAGAAUAGGGGCAAAGAGGGAAUAAGCAAGACAGGUCCCGUACGUCAAGAAAGAUUCAUGUGUUGUCCAUGACCGUGGACACGGCUAUUCGAAUAGUUUUACACUCUACAGAGGUUGUACACUUUACCCACACGACACAAUCCCGACUUGUUGCCACUAGCCGUCGCUAGCAUAGUACACCAUUUGGUAUACCGGCAGGGAGAUUGUGACGAGGUCUUUCAUUAGACCAAACUUACUGUGCCAAGCCCACUAGGUUUCAACACGGAAGUAACCGCAAUUCACAGUCCGGGCCCCCCUUUUGUGCCGAGGAUACUCCUCGCAAGGCAGCUAUCCCAUCUGUGGUACAACGAUGACAACAAUAAGAGUGAACUAACUAAUUAACCAAGCCAGUUCCCAUUAAACCCGGGCAUGGGCAGCCCGGCCCGACGACCCGGCCCGAAAAACCCGGGCCGGGCCGGGCCGGGCUUGACAUUCGGGCCGGGCUCGGGCUUUGUUUUGCAGCCCGAAAAAUAGUUCGGGCCAGGCUCGGGCUUCACUUUUCCUGUAUUUCGGGCCGGGCUUUCGGGCUUCGGGCCGGGCUUGCACGUGCGCGUACUAGAAAAUAGCAUUCGGGCCGGGCUUUCGGGCUUCGGGCUUGACUUCGGGCCGGGCUCGGGCUUGAAAAUAUGGAGUAUUUCGGGCUUUGGGCCGGGCUCAGGCUUGAGAAAUGAAGGUCGGGCUUUUACAAGCCCGGCCCGAAACCCGGCCCGGCCCGACGUUUGCCCAGGUUUAGUUCCCAUAUAGCAUGUGGUUGUACUGUUAUCACAAUCUUCAAAUCCAAGACUUAUUAGGCCUCAUGCGGCACGGACGACUGAUUGCCCCCUUCAACACGUGAAGGGCGGCCAAUCGCUCCUUCAAUCCUUGAUUCAGCUGUCGCCCGCACCAGUAUUCAGAUGGUAAGUUUCACCCAGAGUAGAAGAGAGUAGAGGAUCAACAAGGGCCAACUGGCCUAGCUCAGCGAUACGUUUCAACUGUCAACGACUCGGAGGUCAUUCAACAAAGCACCUAUAUGAUAAGCAUGGCUAACCAUUUCUACUCUACGGGAAUACUAUAAUUCUACUCAGGUGUCAAAUGAAUAGGCGACAAGAGGAGCAAGGUAAUGUGUCAAUAGACAGCCUAGCUACAAAAAUUAAAAAUAGCAUGCAUAUAGUAACCAUAAAACACAAUGCAAUUUUGUAAACAUAGGAUAAAUAUGAUCAAAGAAGGAUGCAUGCCUUCGUUGUUGAGUCCUUCUUCGGUAACCUGAUUUUGUCCUUAUCCAACAUUGUCGUCACUCCCUACUCGUCGUAACGAUAGCAAAUGGCAAACAAAUAAAUACCAAAACAAAAGUAAAUCCAAAACAUCUAAAACAAAUAAAGAGAGGAUGGAUAACAAGAUAUUGAUCGAGAUGGAGAUUCACGAUAGGGAGGUAAGUAGAGAGGAAUCAGCGAAGUGACAAGGUUUAGGAUGACACAACUAUGGAAGGCUUGGCGAUCAAUACUAACGCUCUAGUAUGAACUGUGCUACUAACCAUUAGUAGUGCCCACUACACAUCUCGACUAACUCUACAUGAAACAAGUAUAUAACAAACACAAUGGCAUCCACACACAUGAAAUGGAACCAUCCUAUGCAUUUUAACUACACAAUCACAACAUGGCAUGAUAAAGGUAAAAGGUUUAGCACAAAUAAAUACUUAGAUAGAAUCUAAAUAUUUAUAAUGGUCAGCAGUAGCAAACAUAUACAUCAACUAUAUAACAAUUGAAAAGCAAGUGUUCCAUAAGACAAACACACAUUUCAAACCAUACUAGUUAAGCAAUCAAACAUCUUUCAACCACAACUUGAAUUGAGUUGGAUCUAGAUUUGGUCCUAAAGCAAAACUAAAUGAUAUAGAUAAAUAUUACAAACCAAACAUAUGUCAACUAAUAUAAACAAGUUAAACAUCACAUCAAAUAAAUAAGAGUUGUCCUAUACAUGACAUGGUAAUACAUGCUAAUGUAACCACGAACAACCACAAGAAAGAACAUGGCAUGUUUAAGAGUAACAAUUAACCAUAAAUAAAUAUUUAGAUGUUAGUAAAUAAUUAUAAUGGUUAACAUCAAGUAGAACCAAACAUCAACCAUAACAACUAUCAGAACACAUGAUAUAACAAGAGCCAACCAACACUAUGGUGAAAGCUAAUUAAACAACUAAAUAAUAAGACACAUCUCAUACAAGGCAUAUGAGUAGAAAAUCACAAAGAUGUCUUAUAUAAUAAAACAAGCAUCACACUUACAAGUUAUCAUGGAAACAUACUAAAGUAGGACAUGGUCUUACUACUAAACAAUUAGUACUCAAGUAACCACUAGAAAUAAGAUUACCACUUAAUGCUUAAAUAACAAAUCAACUAUGCACCCUAAGCAUAUGAGGAAGAUACAACUCAACUAAUACGAAAGGUAAACUAUCAUAUGCAUCUGAUGACCUAUUGCAACAAGUAUGGAACAUGCACAAUACUAACAUGAGACAAGUGUAAUCUAUAAGAAGCACGAGGACUAAGUACUCAACUAUAUCAUACAGAGCACAAUAAGACAUGAAAAAUCACUAUCAUGACAAGAUGUAUAGGUUAGGCAUACCCCAAAUCAAAGAUUAAGAUAAAUAAGUUAUAAUGCUAAGCAUAGCGACGAUCAUGAUACGAGCCAUGUGCAAUGGUCCCGAUACAAUUCAAAUCAUAACUACAACAUAAGUUGAUGGAUAACGACUAACAUAAAUAUCACACCAUAGUAUCAUGAUAUGUGACAUAUAGGCACAAAGGAGAAUCAUUGUACGCAUAUAAGCAAGUGAACAUCUAUCAUGGCAUCAACAACAUCAAGCAAUGAAAUAGCAUAGCAUGAAUAACAAAGAUGACUUGCGUUACCUAUCUAGUACUCCCUCCGUCCGGGAAAAGUUGUCCACGGCGUAGUUCAUUAUGAUUUUUGCAAAUAAACCCUUAGGAUUUUAAAUCUCCUGCUAAUUACCCCUUUGCUUCUUCCUACUCCAGAGGCCCGCAGCAGGAACAAGCCCAGGGCGCCGUCGGCAGCCACCGUAGAGCCCAGCGCACUGCCGUCCACCUGCGUCGCCAUUGCGCCGCCGCUGCCAAUCCGUGGUGCCCCUGCCCGCCUGCGCCGCCUGCACGAAGGCGAGCUGCACCGCCGCCCACACGGAGGUGACUGCUCCUCCGCGGCGACCAACUGGACGCCCGCCUCCUCCACGGCUGAAGGCACCUCCCUCGUCGCCCUGCUCGCGUCCCUAGCCGGUGCGGCCCGCGCCCUCAUCCUCUGCCCGCUUCCUCGCGCCCGCGGCCGCCGGUGCGGGAUUUGGGCAAGUCGCCGGCCGCCGCUUCCUUCUGCUGCCGCCGCGAUUCCCUCCAGCCUCUGAUGCUGCAGCUGUUGGGCGAAGCCAACGCCCCCAGAUCGAGUCCUCGCCGUCUGAUGCUUCUGCUCCUCCUCGCCAUCUGAUGCUUCUGCUCAUCCUCGCCGUCUGACUUCUCUCCCCGCGUCUGCUGUUGAAAAGGUGAAUUUGUAGUAGAAAUUGAAGUAGAUAUGUGAAGUGGAAAUUUAACUGGGCAGUGCUACACCUUCACAAUAGUGUGCAACAUCCACAUUCGCCUGAAAGGGAGAGGGAAGGUUAAAAAGUUCAGGUUCUGUUAACUGAACAUGUUCAGGUUCAGGUUCUGUUAACUGAAAAAGUUUAGAUUCAGAAACAUUGUUGGACUGAUAGGAAGUUUGUUGAACAGAGCAAUCUAUACCUGUAAUUUGUACUGUUAUGCCUCUGUUACUCCAGUCAAAAUUUUCCUGUGAAAAUUUUCAGUCAAGCACAACUGAUCAUGUAACUUGAGAAGAUUACUCCAGAUUUUGGAAAUAAUCAAUUACUCCAGAUUCUGUCCCUCCUUUGGAAUGUGAAGUCCACUGGAAAUGAGCACAAGUCAGGUCCGUCAAACUAAGAUUAGUCAAAAGCAACAGAAGAGCACUAACCAACCAAAGUUCCACUAGAAUUAGGCCACUAGAGAGGAAAUAAACAAGUGUGCACCAUU